UGGCGGGACGGGGUGGAGGUAACGCGUGGGUAACCUGCCUCAUACAGGGGGAUAACAGUUAGAAAUGACUGCUAAUACCGCAUAAGACCACAGCACCGCAUGGUGCAGGGGUAAAAACUCCGGUGGUAUGGGAUGGACCCGCGUCUGAUUAGGUAGUUGGUGGGGUAACGGCCUACCAAGCCGACGAUCAGUAGCCGACCUGAGAGGGUGACCGGCCACAUUGGGACUGAGACACGGCCCAA
RNAcentral lists this ribosomal RNA (242 nucleotides) under uncultured bacterium. RNAcentral describes it as "partial 16S ribosomal RNA". It matches the Rfam family "Bacterial small subunit ribosomal RNA", at positions 104 to 334 of the family's 1533-position model. The record is from RNAcentral.